CGACCGGCGCACGGGUGCGUAACGCGUAUGCAACCUACCUUUAACAGGGGGAUAACACUGAGAAAUUGGUACUAAUGCCCCAUAAUAUCAUAGAAGGCAUCUUUUAUGGUUGAAAAUUCCGAUGGUUAGAGAUGGGCAUGCGUUGUAUUAGCUAGUUGGUGGGGUAACGGCCCACCUAGUCUUCGAUGGAUAGGGGUUCUGAGAGGAAGGUCCCCCACAUUGGAACUGAGACACGGUCCAA
RNAcentral lists this ribosomal RNA (241 nucleotides) under uncultured bacterium. RNAcentral describes it as "partial 16S ribosomal RNA". It matches the Rfam family "Bacterial small subunit ribosomal RNA", at positions 92 to 334 of the family's 1533-position model. The record is from RNAcentral.